Non-coding RNA from Camelina sativa (false flax), 200 nucleotides. The record is from RefSeq and is a predicted model, not a curated record. Lineage: Eukaryota; Viridiplantae; Streptophyta; Magnoliopsida; Brassicales; Brassicaceae.
CUCUUUGUUGCUAAUAUCUCUCCCCAAACUAAACUAUUUCAUAUCAAAGAUUUCUUCAAAGAUGUUGGAGAAGUUGUUCGUGUUCGACUUAUUGUAAACCACGAGGGUAAGCAUGUGGGUUAUGGCUUUGUUGACUUUGCUUCUGCUAACGAAGCAAAGAAGGCGCUGGAAAAGAAGAAUGGUGAAUAUUUGCAUGAUCA